CCUACGGGAGGCAGCAGUGGGGAAUUUUGGACAAUGGGCGCAAGCCUGAUCCAGCAAUGCCGCGUGAGUGAAGAAGGCCUUCGGGUUGUAAAGCUCUUUUGUCAGGGAAGAAACGGUGGGGGCUAAUAUCUCCUACUAAUGACGGUACCUGAAGAAUAAGCACCGGCUAACUACGUGCCAGCAGCCGCGGUAAUACGUAGGGUGCAAGCGUUAAUCGGAAUUACUGGGCGUAAAGCGUGCGCAGGCGGUUUUGUAAGUCUGUCGUGAAAGCCCCGGGCUCAACCUGGGAAUUGCGAUGGAGACUGCAAGGCUUGAAUCUGGCAGAGGGGGGUAGAAUUCCACGUGUAGCAGUGAAAUGCGUAGAGAUGUGGAGGAACACCGAUGGCGAAGGCAGCCCCCUGGGUCAAGAUUGACGCUCAUGCACGAAAGCGUGGGGAGCAAACAGGAUUAGAUACCCUGGUAGUCCACGCCCUAAACGAUGUCUACUAGUUGUCGGGUUUUAAUUAACUUGGUAACGCAGCUAACGCGUGAAGUAGACCGCCUGGGGAGUACGGUCGCAAGAUUAAAACUCAAAUGAAUUGACCGGNUGAGAGNGCGACGACGACGACGAGGAGGAGG
Molecule: ribosomal RNA, 618 nt
Filed under: uncultured bacterium
Lineage: Bacteria
Description: bacterial SSU rRNA
Rfam family: Bacterial small subunit ribosomal RNA
Source: RNAcentral